AUUGAACGCUGGCGGCAUGCCUUACACAUGCGAGUCGAACGGUAACGGGCCUUCGGGUGCCGCCGAGUGGCGCACGGGUGAGUAAUACAUCGGAACGUGCCCGAUCGUGGGGGAUAACGAGGCGAAAGCUUUGCUAAUACCGCAUACGAUCUACGGAUGAAAGCAGGGGACCGCAAGGCCUUGCGCGGACGGAGCGGCCGAUGGCAGAUUAGGUAGUUGGUGGGAUAAAAGCUUACCAAGCCGACGAUCUGUAGCUGGUCUGAGAGGAUGAUCAGCCACACUGGGACUGAGACACGGCCCAGACCCCUACGGGAGGCAGCAGUGGGGAAUUUUGGACAAUGGGCGCAAGCCUGAUCCAGCCAUGCCGCGUGCAGGAUGAAGGCCUUCGGGUUGUAAACUGCUUUUGUACGGAACGAAAAGCCUUCUUUUAAUACAGGAGGGUCAUGACGGUACCGUAAGAAUAAGCACCGGCUAACUACGUG
RNAcentral lists this ribosomal RNA (482 nucleotides) under uncultured bacterium. RNAcentral describes it as "partial 16S ribosomal RNA". It matches the Rfam family "Bacterial small subunit ribosomal RNA", at positions 30 to 507 of the family's 1533-position model. The record is from RNAcentral.